ACGCUCGACACCUACGGGAGGCAGCAGUAGGGAAUCUUCCACAAUGGACGCAAGUCUGAUGGAGCAACGCCGCGUGAGUGAAGAAGGUUUUCGGAUCGUAAAGCUCUGUUGUUGGUGAAGAAGGAUAGAGGUAGUAACUGGCCUUUAUUGACGGUAAUCAACCAGAAAGUCACGGCUAACUACGUGCCGGCAGCCGCGGUAAUCUGAGCGGGCUGGCAAGGC
This 222-nucleotide ribosomal RNA is filed under the name uncultured bacterium. Its description in RNAcentral is "partial 16S ribosomal RNA". It matches the Rfam family "Bacterial small subunit ribosomal RNA", at positions 328 to 539 of the family's 1533-position model. The record is from RNAcentral.